CUUUACAUAAGGGAUGUGGAACUAUUAAAAAUAAUAAGCUAUAAUGAAUCAUAAAUACUAAAACAAAUGGAUAUUUUCGCCGUUGGCAAUAUGCUACAAGCAAAUAUAACGCCAGAUGAAAUUAUUUCGUUGUUGGAACAUUUCCAAUAUGAAAAUAUUGAUGAAAUAGUAUCCCAAUUUGGAAAAAUCCACCUUAUUAAUUGGGAAAAAAAGGAAAUAACUAUAGAGUUUUGGUCAGAAGUUUUGAUGUAUAAGGAUGCUGGCCAAAACAAAGCUUUCGAGCAACUGGCAUUAUUUGCUUUGCACAUUCUUUCACUGCCAUGGUCGAAUGCUGCGGUUGAGAGGGUAUUCAGCCAAAUGAACAUGGUCAAAACAAAGUUGCGCAACAAAAUGAAUUUAAAAAGCUUGAACGCAAUUUUAAGAAUAAGAUAUGGACUGCGACGUCAUGGCAAAUGUUGCCAUGACUACAUACUUCCAACGAAAUACAUCGCUUUAGUCAGCUCAUCCGCUAAAUAUAUGGAAUCGAAUGAUGAAGUCGAUGAAAUUAUUUCUUUGCUCUAAUAGCUAUAUAAAUAUAAUAUCAAUAAAAGUAAAA
This is a long non-coding RNA of Drosophila elegans, 595 nucleotides long. RefSeq lists it as uncharacterized. The record is from RefSeq and is a predicted model, not a curated record. NCBI's taxonomy places the organism in Eukaryota, Metazoa, Arthropoda, Insecta, Diptera, Drosophilidae. The transcript is spliced from 3 exons.